CGCCUCCCCUGCCACACUCCCCUGACGCCGCGACGACGCCCCCUGCGACGACGUCCUGCGAGGGGAGGCACCGUCCCCAACGCCGCCGACGCGCCGCCCACGACGCCGACGCCCCCGACGUCGCGCCUCCGACGCCGCCGCCGCCCCCGACAUCGCGCGCCCCCGCACCCUGCCACGCCGCCGCCCCCGACGCGCGCCCACGACGCCGACGCCCCCGACAUCACGUUGCGACUCACCCGAGCCGUCGGCGCGUCGCUCCUUCCCCGCGGCACCCCGCGACUGCGCGCCCCCGACGCGCCUCCCCCCGACGCCUCCUCCUCCCUCGCGGCGCGCCGGCGCGCCCUCCCCUCCUCUCCGUUUGCACGCUCCUGACAGCGCGCCUUCCCCCUCAUCUCCGCCUUCCCCUCCUCUCCGUCCGCACGCCCCUGAGAGGCUGAGAUCAGCACGCCGCGUUCCUCGAUUUCGACGUCGCCUCCACGAUCCACCGCCAUGGUCGUCGGUGGGCUCGAGCAGGUGCUGGUCGCCCCGCCCCCUCGCCAUCGUCGUCGAGGAUCCGUCGCCGACCCUCUUCGUCGCCGUCGCCGUUGCAAUUUUGGUCAUCGCGUACCACACUGACGCAAUUCCUCCACGCCCCGCCGCGCGCUGAAGACGGAGAUUCUCCACUCCCCAUCGCGCUACGCUGGCGCCGUUCCUCCUCCUGUCGCCGCAUCGGCAUGGGCGCUGCGGAGGGACGUGUUGGUCGUCUCAGAUUCAUUCUUGCGCAUGUCCGUGCAAUGGAAGGAUAAUCAUGAAGAUGAGUUUUUGUACAGCACGGAAGUUGAUCUAUCUAGAUGAAGACUCCAGACAGCUUUAGGUCAAUCCCUGCUGCCUUAACACAGGGCAAAGUGCUUCAUGGAACUUCUCAUACUUGAAGAAAAGGGGGCAGGACUGCAAGCAAGGGGAGCAAAAUUGAACACGACCAUGAGGAGGAUCUAGGCAAAAGUUAUGUCUUUUGCAAUUGGCGAUUUGGUCAGUAGGAAGCGAGGAUGAUAAUACUGCUGCUCCCUAUCCUGAACCACUGUCUGACCAAUUGGAUAAAUCCAGUGUUGGGGAUGGUCUUCAGUUAUUUGAGUUUCAAGACUGCAAUGUGGGAUUUGAAGUGCCUGGCACAUUUCCACCAUCACAUUUCGAUUCUGCAUCAGUAUCCAUCAAGAGUGGGAAAAUUUUCCUAUUUGGCUGGCUCCAAAGUAGCUGCAUGAUGUGGUGCAGUAUCCCCUUGCGUUAUUCCUCACCUCAUGGAUUCAAGCAUGUCAUUCAGUCAAGAUACAAAAUUGGUAAAAGAGAGCCAUAAACAUUCAAGAAGUAAAUCAAGCAAAUAUCUGCAGAAAUUAUAGGAUCUAGGAUGUUUCGCUGGGGAAGGUACUUUUGAUGUAGGAUAAAUAGUUGUAUACACAAGUAAUAGUGAAGGUAAGCUCAACCGACUUGGUAGGCAUAUGACAUUUCUAAUGGACUGUUGACUGAAUGUCGGGAUCCAUAAAUGCCACCAUCUCUGAAACUUUUAAUACAUAUAUGCAACAAUGAUAACAGGACUGACACAAUCAUAUUUGGUGGCUGCAACUGUAACUUUCUAAUAUGUAUUAGCUGCUGGUGCUAUCAGUCCUCUGAUGUUUAAUUUCAAAACAAUGUGCAAUCUGAAUUUUCAGAAUGUAUCCUUCAGUCUAAAUCUUCAGACCUGUUUAUUUUGGCUUUGACAAAUGAAUAUGAUAUUAUAGUCUAACUUGUCCAAUGUUCCAGAAGGAUUUUGUGGGAGAUGCAAUUAAUACCAUGAGCCUCAAGGAUCGUAAGAAGCUAGAGGGCAAGCUUGAGAAAGGCGGCCUUUCAUGUUUCCCCUUGCACACACAGACAAAGUGAAAUCUCCUAAUGCUGAUUUUAAACCCCACAAGUAGAUGGGUACCGUUAAACGCUCAUGUAGAAGAUUAAAGGAAAUAGUUGAACCCCACAAGUAGGUCCAAAAAAUUUAAUCUUACAUUGCAUUCUUUGUAGAAACAGAGGGAGUACCCUUCUCUGUUAAUUGAGACAAAACUAUAACCAAUAAAAGGGUUUGUUUCGAAUUUGUAGUAGAUUUGUCGAGAUGAACACGCUGCAUGCUUCUCCGUUAGAAGAAUUACUGCAUUAUUGUAUUUGGGUACUUGGGUACUAUUGAGUCACAACUAGAAAGCUUAAUCCUUGUUCUUCUGUGUUCAAUGUGGCCGAACUUUGAAAGUUAUUACAGGUCUGGUUUGGUUCUUCUGAA
Long non-coding RNA from Panicum virgatum (switchgrass), 2272 nucleotides. RefSeq lists it as uncharacterized. The record is from RefSeq and is a predicted model, not a curated record. Lineage: Eukaryota; Viridiplantae; Streptophyta; Magnoliopsida; Poales; Poaceae. The transcript has 9 exons.